Molecule: RNA transcript, 1107 nt
Organism: Rhododendron vialii
Lineage: Eukaryota; Viridiplantae; Streptophyta; Magnoliopsida; Ericales; Ericaceae
Gene name: glutathione S-transferase zeta class-like
Exons: 11
Source: RefSeq, a predicted model, not a curated record
AUUUUUUUGGGUAAGAAAAUCUUCUUUUGUUUUUUUCCCUACGAGUUCCAAAAGCCAUUACGGCAUUUCCAGUCACUGAAAACGAGCCAAUUUGCAGUCCCAAUCGAAGUUCGCUGAAACAAUGGCGAGCAGCGUGGAGCAGCAAAAGAAGCUGAAGCUAUAUUCUUACUUCCGGAGUUCUUGCUCUCACCGAGUUCGGAUUGCUCUCAAAUUGAAAGGCCUGGAGUAUGAAUACAAAGCAGUUAAUUUGCUGAAAGGGGAGCACUUCAGUCCUGAGUUUACAAAGCUCAAUCCAAUUGGUUAUGUGCCGGUGUUGGUGGAUGAGGACCUUGUAGUUUCUGACUCUUUUGCAAUCAUGUUGUAUCUGGAAGAGAAAUAUCCUCAACAUCCGCUGUUGCCUCGUGAUCUGCAGAGAAGAGCAAUCAACUACCAGGCUGCAAAUAUUGUUUCUUCAAGUAUACAACCUCUUCAGAACCUAUCUGUGCUGAAGUAUAUUGCGGAGAAAGUUAAUCCAGAUGAGCAGUAUGUUUGGGCUAGGAAUCAUAUUGGGAAAGGUUUAGAAGCACUUGAGAAGUUGUUGCAUGACUAUGCUGGGAAGUAUGCCACUGGAGAUGAAGUCUAUCUGGCAGAUUGCUUUAUAGCACCUCAGCUUUAUGGAGCAAUCAAAAGGUUCAGUCUUGAUAUGACUCCGUACCCUCUUCUGUCUAGGUUGAAUGAGGCAUACAAUCAACUACCUGCCUUUGUAGAUUCUGCGCCAGAAAACCAGCCGGAUACACCAGUUUAGGCGUUGAGUUGAGGUAACUGAGGAAUAUGAAAGUACUUGUCAUUGUAUGCUUGACCACAUAGCCUGUGGUGAAGCCCGUGAAGCAAGAUUUCGGGCAGAGCUGUUAAGAUGCCAGCAUACUUUCUUCCACGAGGCUUUGUCUAUUUGAGAAUUAUGACAGAAUAAACUAAAGUUGUGUUUAUUGUAUUAGAACAUCUUUAUAUUGUUCCCUGAAGUUCAGUUUGCUUGUUGUACCGUGAAAUAAAGAGGUUUUAGUAUUCUGGUUCGAAGUUAAGAUGUUUAAAUAUUUAUGUGCUGCUAUAUUCAAUUCUUGCCCUUCUGUA